Molecule: ribosomal RNA, 610 nt
Filed under: Amanita sp.
Lineage: Eukaryota; Fungi; Basidiomycota; Agaricomycetes; Agaricales; Amanitaceae
Description: eukaryotic LSU rRNA
Rfam family: Eukaryotic large subunit ribosomal RNA
Source: RNAcentral
AAAAGCGGAGGAAAAGAAACUAACAAGGAUUCCCCUAGUAACUGCGAGUGAAGCGGGAAAAGCUCAAAUUUGAAAUCUGGCAGUCUUUUUUUUCUUCUUUGGCUGUCUGAGUUGUAAUCUAGAGAAGUGCUUACCUGCGCUGGACCAUGUAUAAGUCUCCUGGAAUGGAGCGUCACAGAGGGUGAGAAUCCCGUCUUUGACAUGGACUGCCGGUGUGUUGUGGUGCGCUCUCAAAGAGUCGAGUUGUUUGGGAAUGCAGCUCUAAAUGGGUGGUAAACUCCAUCUAAAGCUAAAUAUUGGCGAGAGACCGAUAGCGAACAAGUACCGUGAGGGAAAGAUGAAAAGGACUUUGGAAAGAGAGUUAAACAGUAUGUGAAAUUGUUGAAAGGGAAACGCUUGAAGUCAGUUAUGUUGGCUAGGGAUCAGCCUGGCUAUUUUUUGCUGGGUGAAUUUCCUAGUCUGACAGGCCAACAUCAGUUCUGACUGCCAGAAAAGAGCAAAGGGAAUGUGGCACCUUUGGGUGUGUUAUAGCCUUUUGUCAUAUGUGGCAGUUGGGACUGAGGGAUGCAGCAUGCCGUGAGGCUGGGUUUCGACCACGUUCAUGCUUAGG